GGGUGAUCAAUGAUUUCUGCUCAGCUUGUUUUUAGAUGAAGGGCAUUCUUUGCUCAUGAUCAUCCAGGGUCUUCAUGGGCGACUAAAGGUUUCUACUCAGUUCAUCUUAAGAUGAGGGGCAUUCAUCGCUCGUGGUCAUCCGACGUUCUCACGGGUGACCAAGGGUUUCUGCUCAACUCAUCCUAGGAUAAGGGACAUUCUUCGCUUAUGGUCAUUCGAGGUAUUCACAAGUGAUCAAGGGUUUCUGCUCAGCUCAUCUUAGGAUGAGGGGCAUUUUUCGCUCAUGGUCAUCCAACAUUCUCACAGGCAACCAAGUAUUUCUACUCAGCUCAUCUCGAGAUAAGGGGUAUUCUUUGCUCAUGGUUGUCUGACGUUCCCACUAGCAACCAAGGAUUUCUACUCAACUCAUAUUGGGAUGAGGGGCAUUCUUCACUCAUGGUUGUCUGACAUUCUCAUGGGCGACCAAGGAUUUCUACUCAGCUCAUCUUGGGACUAGGGGCAUUCUUCGCUCAUGGUUGUCUGGGGUCUUCACAAUUCACCAAGGAUUUUUGCUCAACUCAUCUUAGAACGAGGGGCAUUCUUCGCUCAUUGUCGUUCAACAUUCUCAUGGGUGACCAAGGGUUUCUUCUUAGCUCAUCUUGGGAUGAGGGGCAUUCUUCGCUCAUGGUUGUCCGAUGUUCUCAUGGGCAACCAAAGGU
This 698-nucleotide long non-coding RNA is filed under the name Elaeis guineensis (African oil palm). RNAcentral describes it as "long non-coding RNA (EGUI_LNC042586)". The record is from RNAcentral. Lineage: Eukaryota; Viridiplantae; Streptophyta; Magnoliopsida; Arecales; Arecaceae.